Molecule: transfer RNA, 72 nt
Filed under: Camelus bactrianus (Bactrian camel)
Lineage: Eukaryota; Metazoa; Chordata; Mammalia; Artiodactyla; Camelidae
Also listed under: 2 other names
Rfam family: tRNA
About the family: Transfer RNA (tRNA) molecules are approximately 80 nucleotides in length.
Source: Rfam by way of RNAcentral
GAGGGUAUAGCUCAGUGGGAGAGCACGUGCUUAGCAUGCACGAUGUCCUGGGUUCAAUCUCCAGUACCUCCA